UACCAGCACCCCGAGUGGUCGGGACGUUUAUUGGGCCUAAAGCAUCCGUAGCCGGUUCUACAUGUCUUCCGUUAAAUCCAACUGCUUAACAGGUGGGCUGCGGAAGAUACUAUAGAGCUAGGAGGCGGGAGAGGCAAGCGGUACUCGAUGGGUAGGGGUAAAAUCCGUUGAUCCAUUGAAGACCACCAGUGGCGAAGGCGGCUUGCCAGAACGCGCUCGACGGUGAGGGAUGAAAGCUGGGGGAGCAAACCGG
Molecule: ribosomal RNA, 253 nt
Filed under: uncultured bacterium
Lineage: Bacteria
Description: partial 16S ribosomal RNA
Rfam family: Archaeal small subunit ribosomal RNA
Source: RNAcentral